Molecule: ribosomal RNA, 973 nt
Filed under: Sarcophaga rosellei
Lineage: Eukaryota; Metazoa; Arthropoda; Insecta; Diptera; Sarcophagidae
Description: eukaryotic LSU rRNA
Rfam family: Eukaryotic large subunit ribosomal RNA
Source: RNAcentral
GCACUAAGUCACUUUGUCUUUAUGGCAAAUGUGAGAUGCAGUGUAUGGAAUGUCAAAUUUCUAGUAUGAGAAAUUAACGAUUUAAGUCCUUCUUAAAUGAGGCCAUUUACCCAUAGAGGGUGCCAGGCCCGUAUAACGUUAAUGAUUACUAGAUGGCAUUUCCAAAGAGUCGUGUUGCUUGAUAGUGCAGCACUAAGUGGGUGGUAAACUCCAUCUAAAACUAAAUAUAACCAUGAGACCGAUAGUAAACAAGUACCGUGAGGGAAAGUUGAAAAGAACUCUGAAUAGAGAGUUAAAUAGUACGUGAAACUGCUUAGAGGUUAAGCCCGAUGAACCUGAAUAUCCAUUAUAGAAAAUUCAUCAUUAUGAUUUUAAUAUUAAUAAUAUUAUAAUAAUGGUGUGCAUUUUUUCUAUAACGGACAUUGUAAUCUAUUAACAUAAAUAUAUUUAUCAUAAGAUCAAUGAUGCGUAAGUUUAUUCAAAUUAUUUUGCUUGCAAUUUAACAUAGAAUAAAUGCUCUUGAUUUGAUAAAGUGUUGAUAGAUUUAUUGUAUAUAGUGCUUAAAUAUUUAUAUUUUAUAAUAGCAUAUUAAUCAUUGAUUUUUAUGUUUAUUAUAUGCACUUAUAUGAUUAACAAUGCGAAAGAUUCAGGAUACCUUCGGGACCCGUCUUGAAACACGGACCAAGGAGUCUAACAUAUUUGCAAGUUAUUGGGUAUCAAAACCUAAUAGCGAAAUUAACAUAACUUUAAUGGGAUUAGUUUUUAGAUUAUUUAUAGUCUAUUAAUUCAAUCCCGGGGCGUUCUAUACAGUUAUGUAUAAUAAUAUUUAUAUUAUUUAUACCUCUAACUAGAGCGUACCUUGAGCAUAUAUGCUGUGACCCGAAAGAUGGUGAACUAUACUUGAUCAGGUUGAAGUCAGGGGAAACCCUGAUGGAAGACCGAAACAGUUCUGACGUGCAAAUCGAUGUCAGAA